AACGAACGCUGGUGGCGUGCUUAACACAUGCAAGUCGAACGAGAAAAAUUCCUUCGGGGAUUUAGUAAAGUGGCGCAAGGGUGAGUAACACGUGAAUAAUCUGCCCUCGAGAUCGGGAUAACAUGGUGAAAACUAUGCUAAUACCGGAUAAGACCACAUCUCAUAAGAGAUGCGGGAAAAGGAGUCUCAAUCUUCACUCGAGGAUGAGUUCGCGCAACAUUAGCUUGUUGGUGAGAUAAAAGCUCACCAAGGCUACGAUGUUUAGCCGGCCUGAGAGGGUGAACGGCCACACUGGAACUGAGACACGGUCCAGACUCCUACGGGAGGCAGCAGUGGGGAAUAUUGCGCAAUGGGCGAAAGCCUGACGCAGCAACGCCGUGUGAGCGAUG
RNAcentral lists this ribosomal RNA (389 nucleotides) under uncultured Nitrospina sp. RNAcentral describes it as "bacterial SSU rRNA". It matches the Rfam family "Bacterial small subunit ribosomal RNA", at positions 29 to 410 of the family's 1533-position model. The record is from RNAcentral. Lineage: Bacteria; Pseudomonadati; Nitrospinota; Nitrospinia; Nitrospinales; Nitrospinaceae.